GCUUGUCUCAAAGAUUAAGCCAUGCAUGUGUAAGUAUAAAUGCUUUGUACUGUGAAACUGCGAAUGGCUCAUUAUAUCAGUUAUAAUUUAUUUGAUGGUCUCUUUUUACUUGGAUAACCGUGGUAAUUCUCCGGCUAAUACAUGCAGCCCCUCGGGGCGUAUUUGUUAGACCUUAAACCAACGCCAGCAAUGGCUACCGGUGACAUAUGACAACUGCACGGAUCGCAUGACCUCGAGUCGGCGACGCUUCAUUCAAAUUUCUGCCCUAUCAACUUUCGAUGGUAAGGUAGUGGCUUACCAUGGUGGUAACGGGUAACGGGGAAUUGGGGUUCGAUUCCGGAGAGGGGGCCUGAGAAACGGCCACCACUUCUAAGGAAGGCAGCAGG
Molecule: ribosomal RNA, 386 nt
Filed under: uncultured Rozellomycota
Lineage: Eukaryota; Fungi; Rozellomycota
Description: uncultured Cryptomycota partial small subunit ribosomal RNA
Rfam family: Eukaryotic small subunit ribosomal RNA
Source: RNAcentral